CGUUCAAGGACCACGCGAGCUAC
RNAcentral lists this non-coding RNA (23 nucleotides) under Drosophila melanogaster (fruit fly). The record is from RNAcentral. Lineage: Eukaryota; Metazoa; Arthropoda; Insecta; Diptera; Drosophilidae.